UGGGGGAUAUUGCACAAUGGGCGAAAGCCUGAUGCAGCGACGCCGCGUGGGGGAUGAAGGCUUUCGGGUUGUAAACCUCUUUCGCUAUCGAACAAGGCCCGCUUAGGGUGGGUUGAGGGUAGGUGGAGAAGAAGCGCUGGCUAACUACGUGCCAGCAGCCGCGGUAAUACGUAGGGCGCGAGCGUUGUCCGGAAUUAUUGGGCGUAAAGGGCUUGUAGGCGGCUUGUUGCGCCUGCUGUGAAAACGCGGGGCUUAACUUCGCGCGUGCAGUGGGUACGGGCAGGCUUGAGUGUGGUAGGGGUGACUGGAAUUCCAGGUGUAGCGGUGGAAUGCGCAGAUAUCUGGAGGAACACCGAUGGCGAAGGCAGGUCACUGGGCCAUUACUGACGCUGAGGAGCGAAAGCAUGGGUAGCGAACAGG
RNAcentral lists this ribosomal RNA (420 nucleotides) under bacterium. RNAcentral describes it as "partial 16S ribosomal RNA". It matches the Rfam family "Bacterial small subunit ribosomal RNA", at positions 355 to 776 of the family's 1533-position model. The record is from RNAcentral.